This is a small nuclear RNA of Papaver somniferum (opium poppy), 102 nucleotides long. The record is from RefSeq and is a predicted model, not a curated record. NCBI's taxonomy places the organism in Eukaryota, Viridiplantae, Streptophyta, Magnoliopsida, Ranunculales, Papaveraceae.
GUCCCUUCGAGGACAUCCAAUAAAAUUGGAACGAUACAAAGAUGAUUAACAUGGUUCUUGUUCAUAAAUGUUUCUAAUUAACAAAAAAGAAAAAAAAAAUUG